This 70-nucleotide transfer RNA is filed under the name Loxodonta africana (African savanna elephant). It matches the Rfam family "tRNA". From Rfam's summary of the family: Transfer RNA (tRNA) molecules are approximately 80 nucleotides in length. Their secondary structure includes four short double-helical elements and three loops (D, anti-codon, and T loops). Lineage: Eukaryota; Metazoa; Chordata; Mammalia; Proboscidea; Elephantidae. The record is from Rfam by way of RNAcentral.
GCAGCGGUGGUUCAGCAGUAGGAUUCUCACUUUCCACGCGAGAGGUCAGGGUUCAAUUCCGGCCGAUGCA